This 482-nucleotide ribosomal RNA is filed under the name uncultured bacterium. Its description in RNAcentral is "partial 16S ribosomal RNA". It matches the Rfam family "Bacterial small subunit ribosomal RNA", at positions 30 to 507 of the family's 1533-position model. The record is from RNAcentral.
AUUGAACGCUGGCGGCAUGCUUUACACAUGCAAGUCGAACGGCAGCGCGGGGCAACCUGGCGGCGAGUGGCGAACGGGUGAGUAAUAUAUCGGAACGUACCCAGAAGUGGGGGAUAACGUAGCGAAAGUUACGCUAAUACCGCAUACGAUCUACGGAUGAAAGGCGGGGACCGCAAGGCCUUAUGCUUUUGGAGCGGCCGAUAUCUGAUUAGCUAGUUGGUGAGGUAAAGGCUCACCAAGGCGACGAUCAGUAGCUGGUCUGAGAGGACGACCAGCCACACUGGAACUGAGACACGGUCCAGACUCCUACGGGAGGCAGCAGUGGGGAAUUUUGGACAAUGGGCGCAAGCCUGAUCCAGCAAUGCCGCGUGAGUGAAGAAGGCCUUCGGGUUGUAAAGCUCUUUUGUCAGGGAAGAAACGGUAGAGGCUAAUAUCCUGUGCUAAUGACGGUACCUGAAGAAUAAGCACCGGCUAACUACGUG